GUUACCUUGUUAGAUCAGCUCCCAUUUUAGCUCCCUAUUCCCUCUUUCUCCUCCUCCUCCUCCUCCGUCUUCUUCCAUCGUCUCUCUCUGCUCUCUCUCAUCUCUGUUAGUCUCAUAAUUAAACAAGCACUUGAUGCAAUUAUUACCCACAAUUCCAUUUCCAUCAAGAGAGUUGCAGCAUCAGCAUCAGCAGCAGCAGCAGUUUUCAACCUGCCCUGCCACCCACUGCUCCUCCUUCCACUGCUCUGCCACUAACGGCCUCCCCCACCCCCACUGCUCCGUGCAUGGCCGCCACCCACCACCUCUUCAACUACGCCCCCACCACCGCCUCGGCCACCAUCCCCACCUCUGCCUCCGACCAUCUCAACAUGCUGGGCCUUCGUGACGUCGUCUUCAUCUCCCCCCAGCAGCAGCACCACCACCACCAGCCCAUCAUCCCCUCCUCCGCUGCCGCUGCCCUCGGGGUCGGUGUCAGCAUCUUCCCCCUCCUCGCUGCCACCCCUUGUGUCGACAUAGCCAGCACCGAUCCGCAGGCGGCAUCAUCGAGCCUCGCUGCUGCGAAGAAGGACAAUAUCCCGAUGGGGAUCGAGAUCGAGAGGCUCGAUGAUGGCGGCAGUGGAAACGGGAACGUUAACAGUGGUGGCUCCAAUAUGAGGGCCUGCCGGGACUGCGGCAACAGGGCCAAGAAGGAGUGUAGUUAUCGGAGGUGUCGGACUUGCUGCAAGAGCAGAGGCUACGACUGCGCCACCCACGUCAAGAGCACGUGGGUCCCCGCCUCCCGGAGGCGGGAGCGCCAGGUGGCCAUGGUCGGCAUCAGCUUCGCCGGCGGAGGCUCUUCUGGGUCGUCCUCCGGAGCCGCUGCCAAGAAACAGAGGGUCGAGAAUGCCUCUUCCGCCUCCAAUUCUGCCACCCCUAGAAGCUUUGAAUCCAGCCCUUUCCGUCAAGACGCUAGCUUCAAGCAAUCCUUGCCGAGUCAAGUCCGAGCUCCGGCGGUCUUCCGGUGCAUCAGAGUGACUGCAAUCAGCGACAAUGCUGCUGAACUCGCUUACCAGGCGACUGUCAGCAUUAGCGGGCACGUCUUCAAGGGCUACCUCUACGAUCACGGGACCGGCGCCAAAAACAGCUCAGGCUCCAUCGCUUCUAUCUCAAAACUCCGGCUCGAGGAAGGGACCACCAGCAUGAGAGAUCGUGACUCCUCUCCUCCUCCCCCGAUAGUCAACCCGUCCAAUGCUUUCGCAGCAGCCUCGGGUUCCCAGAGGUUGCUCGGAGGUACCAAAUUUCACUUAAAAGGAUUGAUCUUUAAUUACACGUUUACACGGUUGCAAAUUGCAGAAUGAACAGAUGGAUAUUUCAUUGAUUUGUUUUCAUACUCGAAUUGAUAAUAAUCAUCUAUUGUUGAUGUUUGGGAAGACAGAGCAACAGUAAGAAAAGCGGAUUCAUCGGCAAGAAAGCGACUCGAGUUGCGACACCCUUGUCGAUUUUUUUUCUUUAGAAGAAGAAGAUAAAGCGAAAGCAUCAACCUUUUGAGUUUUAAUAUAUUUUUUCGCGUUGUCAAAUGCAAGUUGCGAUUGCAAUGCUUGCAUCUAUAAUAAUUGUUUGCUCUUGCUCUAACCUGCGUUUAAAUUUUGCUUAAAGUGUUCCAUCUUUGACAGUAGUUCACCGAUCGAAGUGGUCUCAAGAUGUGAGUUUCACGGACCAAAUUGGCUGCCUUAAGAUGCAAACUUGAUGGGCCCAACUGAUGUGAGGAGUGAGAUUAGAGAAGAAGCAGAACAAGCAGGAUGAACCUAGUACAAGCCAAAACCACAGCAACAUCUGGGUUAGAAUAAAGCAUCGAACAACUUGCCCGAAGAUGUCAGUAUUUACUUCUACUACUAGUCUCUCCUAGAUACAUGUAAAAAUAGGCCCUUCUUCGGAGACUUAAGUACAAUGGGAUACAUAUAAUUCCCUCAAGUUCGAACGUUCUACCACUUAACCCUGAGUUUGUAAAUCUCUGCUGUUUCUUUUAUCAUAGCAAUCACUGACCAUAUGAAAGA
Molecule: non-coding RNA, 2033 nt
Organism: Punica granatum (pomegranate)
Lineage: Eukaryota; Viridiplantae; Streptophyta; Magnoliopsida; Myrtales; Lythraceae
Source: RefSeq, a predicted model, not a curated record